GAUGAAGAACGAAGCGAAAUGCGAUAAGUAGUGUGAAUUGCAGAAUUCAGUGAAUCAUCGAAUCUUUGAACGCACAUUGCGCCCCUUGGUAUUCCAUGGGGCAUGCCUGUUCGAGCGUCAUUUGUACCUUCAAGCUCUGCUUGGUGUUGGGUGUUUGUCUCGCCUCUGCGCGUAGACUCGCCUCAAAACAAUUGGCAGCCGGCGUAUUGAUUUCGGAGCGCAGUACAUCUCGCGCUUUGCACUCAUAACGACGACGUCCAAAAGUACAUUUUUACACUCUUGACCUCGGAUCAGGUAGGGAUACCCGCUGAACUUAAGCAUAUCAAUAAGCGGAGGA
Molecule: unclassified non-coding RNA, 337 nt
Filed under: soil metagenome
Description: partial contains 5.8S ribosomal RNA, internal transcribed spacer 2, and large subunit ribosomal RNA
Rfam family: 5.8S ribosomal RNA (bases 1-120)
Source: RNAcentral